AGAGUUUGAUCCUGGCUCAGGAUGAACGCUGGCGGCGUGCCUAACACAUGCAAGUCGAGCGAUUUACUUCGGUAAAGAGCGGCGGACGGGUGAGUAACGCGUGGGUAACCUGCCUCAUACACAUGGAUAACAUACCGAAAGGUAUGCUAAUACAAGAUGAUAUAAGAGAUUCGCAUGGAUUUCUUAUCAAAGCUCCGGCGGUAUGAGAUGGACCCGCGUCUGAUUAGCUAGUUGGUAAGGUAACGGCUUACCAAGGCGACGAUCAGUAGCCGACCUGAGAGGGUGAUCGGCCACAUUGGAACUGAGACACGGUCCAAACUCCUACGGGAGGCAGCAGUGGGGAAUAUUGCACAAUGGGCGAAAGCCUGAUGCAGCAACGCCGCGUGAGCGAUGAAGGCCUUCGGGUCGUAAAGCUCUGUCCUCAAGGAAGAUAAUGACGGUACUUGAGGAGGAAGCCCCGGCUAACUACGUGCCAGCAGCCGCGGUAAUACGUAGGGGGCUAGCGUUAUCCGGAUUUACUGGGCGUAAAGGGUGCGUAGGUGGUUUCUUAAGUCAGGAGUGAAAGGCUACGGCUCAACCGUAGUAAGCUCUUGAAACUGGGAAACUUGAGUGCAGGAGAGGAAAGUGGAAUUCCUAGUGUAGCGGUGAAAUGCGUAGAUAUUAGGAGGAACACCAGUAGCGAAGGCGGCUUUCUGGACUGUAACUGACACUGAGGCACGAAAGCGUGGGGAGCAAACAGGAUUAGAUACCCUGGUAGUCCACGCCGUAAACGAUGAGUACUAGCUGUCGGAGGUUACCCCCUUCGGUGGCGCAGCUAACGCAUUAAGUACUCCGCCUGGGAAGUACGCUCGCAAGAGUGAAACUCAAAGGAAUUGACGG
RNAcentral lists this ribosomal RNA (879 nucleotides) under uncultured bacterium. RNAcentral's name for it is "bacterial SSU rRNA". It matches the Rfam family "Bacterial small subunit ribosomal RNA", at positions 8 to 916 of the family's 1533-position model. The record is from RNAcentral.